CUUGAGCUGUAGUAGUACAGAUCCUGUCAUAGUCACUAAUAGGAAAAGGACACAGAAACCUGUUUAUAUUCUUGUUUGGCUACCUUAAGAAUACUGCAACUCCGAAGCCUUUGUACAGCCUACUGAGCCAGGUGGCUCUGCAAGACAAUGAUGUGUAAUGGGAUCAAUAGUUUGAACUCUGAUAAUGUUACCAAUCAUUUUGGAUUGUCUUCUAACAUGAAGAUGUCAACAGCUCUUUCUAUGCUCAUCCAUUUCCUAGGAUGUACAAUUAAAAGCCCAAAACAAAAACUAUUUAUGAAAUCAACUGGAUACAAUUAGCCUGAAAAGUGGGUGAAAAUAUUUCAAGUUUGCAGAAAAAGAAAAAUACACCCAUCCAAUGAGUCAAUGGAAGGUACAAUAAAAAAA
Molecule: long non-coding RNA, 405 nt
Organism: Canis lupus familiaris (dog)
Lineage: Eukaryota; Metazoa; Chordata; Mammalia; Carnivora; Canidae
Exons: 2
Source: RefSeq, a predicted model, not a curated record